RNAcentral lists this ribosomal RNA (509 nucleotides) under uncultured Glomus. Its description in RNAcentral is "SSU rRNA". It matches the Rfam family "Eukaryotic small subunit ribosomal RNA", at positions 569 to 1078 of the family's 1831-position model. Lineage: Eukaryota; Fungi; Glomeromycota; Glomeromycetes; Glomerales; Glomeraceae. The record is from RNAcentral.
AGCAGCCGCGGUAAUUCCAGCUCCAAUAGCGUAUAUUAAAGUUGUUGCAGUUAAAAAGCUCGUAGUUGAAUUUCGGGGUUAGUAGGUUGGUCAUGCCUCUGGUAUGUACUGGUCUCACUGAUUCCUCCUUCCUGAUGAGCCGUAAUGCCAUUAAUUUGGUGUUGCGGGGAAUUUGGACUGUUACUUUGAAAAAAUUAGAGUGUUUAAAGCAAGCUAACGCUUGAAUACAUUAGCAUGGAAUAAUGAAAUAGGACGUUCGAUCCUAUUUUGUUGGUUUCUAGGAUUGACGUAAUGAUUAAUAGGGAUAGUUGGGGGCAUUAGUAUUCAAUUGUCAGAGGUGAAAUUCUUGGAUUUAUUGAAGACUAACUACUGCGAAAGCAUUUGCCAAGGAUGUUUUCAUUAAUCAGGAACGAAAGUUAGGGGAUCGAAGACGAUCAGAUACCGUCGUAGUCUUAAACCAUAAACUAUGCCGACUAGGGAUCGGAUGAUGUUAAUUUUUUAAUGACUCA